This 460-nucleotide ribosomal RNA is filed under the name uncultured bacterium. Its description in RNAcentral is "partial 16S ribosomal RNA". It matches the Rfam family "Bacterial small subunit ribosomal RNA", at positions 338 to 795 of the family's 1533-position model. The record is from RNAcentral.
CCUACGGGUGGCAGCAGUGAGGAAUAUUGGUCAAUGGACGAGAGUCUGAACCAGCCAAGUAGCGUGAAGGAUGACUGCCCUAUGGGUUGUAAACUUCUUUUAUAUGGGAAUAAAAUGUUCCACGUGUGGGAUUUUGUAUGUACCAUAUGAAUAAGAAUCGGCUAACUCCGUGCCAGCAGCCGCGGUAAUACGGAGGAUCCGAGCGUUAUCCGGAUUUAUUGGGUUUAAAGGGAACGUAGGUGGAUUGUUAAGUCAGUUGUGAAAGUUUGCGGCUCAACCGUAAAAUUGCAGUUGAAACUGGCAGUCUUGAGUACAGUAGAGGUGGGUGGAAUUCGUGGUGUAGCGGUGAAAUGCUUAGAUAUCACGAAGAACUCCGAUUGCGAAGGCAGUUCACUGGACUGCAACUGACACUGAGGCUCGAAAGUGUGGGUAUCAAACAGGAUUAGAUACCCGGGUAGUC